This 214-nucleotide ribosomal RNA is filed under the name Nemocoris falleni. RNAcentral describes it as "partial small subunit ribosomal RNA". The record is from RNAcentral. Lineage: Eukaryota; Metazoa; Arthropoda; Insecta; Hemiptera; Coreidae.
AGGAAAAUAUGUCGGAUUUUUAGGUUAGAUUGAUUUUGUCUAUAAAAAUUGGCUAAAAUCGGAUAUUUUUAUAUACAAGUUUUUGCGUGUUAAUUUUUUGUCUUAAUGACAAUUUUUUUUAAUUGUAGUUUUUGAUAUUAAAUUUUUUGGAAACAUAGAUUUAGAUAAUUUAUUUUAGGAUUGUUGAAAAUUGUGCCAGCAUACGCGGUUAUAC